Molecule: long non-coding RNA, 581 nt
Organism: Sycon ciliatum
Lineage: Eukaryota; Metazoa; Porifera; Calcarea; Leucosolenida; Sycettidae
Exons: 2
Source: RefSeq, a predicted model, not a curated record
UCAACCUCCAGUCAAGUACAGACCCAGGGAAACUUCUGUUGCAAGGGCCAUCCACUACGCCGUGAAGUUGAACAGCCCCGAAGUUGUAACCUUUUAUCUAAGAUUGACAUAUUUUAUCGUGAUGUUGCACAUGCUGAUCGUCAUCGCCGAACUGACCUGUUGAAGAUGGUGAAGAGGAGAAAGGUUGACACUAUUAAUCUGGCCUGGACGUCUCUCCUCGAGACACUGUCCAAGUUGCCAAGUCAUGAGAAAAUGGAUGUCCUGGACCUGGAGACCACAUCAGCUGUGUUUUCAAGUUUUUGCGGUACAGUAGUGGCAAGAAAGCCGUCCAUCAUGCCAGCAUCAUCCGCAGCAGCAACAGCAGCAGCAGCACCCCUGCCCACCGCCAUAGUCAACUGCACUGCAGAGACACCAAAAAGAUACCAUGGUGGUUGGUAUGUUGUUGCGGUGAGAAGAGAACUGGAAGCUAGCAGAAAGCCUGAGUUAACUAGCGUCAAGCCGGUGUUGGCGACUUUCGGCUAUGAAAUUCUGGCCAACAUGUCUCCGAAUCUACCAAACUUUGAGAAGAUAAUUGAAUCUGA